CGCGGGGUAGAGCAACUUGGUAGCUCACAAGGCUCAUAACCUUGAGGUCACGGGUUCAAAUCCCGUCUCCGCCAUAUAU
Molecule: transfer RNA, 79 nt
Filed under: Hedysarum taipeicum
Lineage: Eukaryota; Viridiplantae; Streptophyta; Magnoliopsida; Fabales; Fabaceae
Also listed under: 1 other name
Description: tRNA-fMet
Rfam family: tRNA
About the family: Transfer RNA (tRNA) molecules are approximately 80 nucleotides in length. Their secondary structure includes four short double-helical elements and three loops (D, anti-codon, and T loops). Further hydrogen bonds mediate the characteristic L-shaped molecular structure. tRNAs have two regions of fundamental functional importance: the anti-codon, which is responsible for specific mRNA codon recognition, and the 3' end, to which the tRNAs corresponding amino acid is attached (by aminoacyl-tRNA synthetases). tRNAs cope with the degeneracy of the genetic code in two manners: having more than one tRNA (with a specific anti-codon) for a particular amino acid; and 'wobble' base-pairing, i.e. permitting non-standard base-pairing at the 3rd anti-codon position.
Source: RNAcentral